AUCAAUGUAGAUAUCAUUAAUAAAAAUGAGAAGCUUUCAAAAGCUUGUGGAAAGUUCUGGUUCAUCUGCAUUUUGCAUCAUUUCUUUGGUUAUAUUAGACUCAAUAGAUUGCACAAACAAAUAUGACUUUUUUACUGAUAACAAUUCUGGAUUUAAACAAGAAUUAGAAUACAAGAACACAUUCACAAGCCUAAGCCCUAACAGAAAUUUCCUCUCUCAAAUUCAUAACAAGAAGAGUGGUUUCUAAAUUGGUACAUCGCACUAUCGCCCCCCUACAUAACCUUCAUAAUUUUUUACGGGUAAGGCGGGUUUUCUAGAUAUAUAUUCUUUUCCUAUUGAGUUGUGAAUCUCGAAUGCACAUUUUUAAGUCUCGUUUGAAAAUGGAUUUUUUGUGAUAUAAUUGAGCUAGCUUUUCAGGAAAUUAAUUUAUGAUGUGUCACAAACAAACGCGAUGCCAAGUUUCAAAAGCCAAAUCCUUAUCAGUUAUGAUAUAUAUAGGUUUUUUCCAUCCAUUGCGGCUAGCCGAGUUUCAAACAACCAUGUAAAAGGAGCCUCAGUCUCAUCUUGCAAUGAAGCACAUACGAAUAAAAUUUACUAAUAGUGAUUAUUCAAUCCAGUCAAUGGGGCAAAAGACAUAGACAUACUAUACUUGUUAAAAAAAUUAUCACUUUAAAUAAAAUAACCACCAAUAAUUAACACAAUGGGCCAAGUCCAAUAUGCACACAGCAGAUGUUAACAUUUUUGAACCUAAUUCCGGUCCACACAUACUUGGGAUGUUGAUGAUGGUUCAGUCUAAGGAGAAGAGAAGAGAUGGUGGUGAAGAUUGAUUUUGAUGGGAAGUGCUUCUUUAUGCUUGGUUCCGAUAAGCAAAGUGUGAAGAACAGGUAGGUAAGCCAUGCUGAAGCAUAACAAUGUCAUCCCUAACGGACACUUCCGUAAGCAUGGGCAGAACUAUGUAAAGACCUGGUUCAAUCAACCUGCCCGCAAGACAAGAAGACGUAUAGCUCCUCAGAAGAAGGCUGUUAAGAUUUUCCCCACGCCUACUGCUGGUCCUCUCAGAUCUAUGGUUCAUGGACAGAGCUGGCAAAGGAUUUUCUCUUGAAGACUUGAAGAAACCAUGGCUGCACAAGGUUCAACCGCAACCCCAGUCCUCGCAAUUCCAAGGGCUGACCCUGGAUGGAAAUUUUUUAAACCAUUUGACCCAAAUGAUACCAGUCGCUGCGUUUGCAAUUUCUGUUCUAACAUCACAAAGGGCGGAAUUACCAGAAUGAAGAAGCACUUGAUGGGGAAGAAAGGGAACAUUUCUCCUUGUCAUAAGUGUCCAGAAGAGGUUCGAGAUGAAUUGUGGGGAUAUCUGAAGGAAAAGAAGCAAAAGGACAGCGAAGCAAAUGGAAGUGUCAGGCUUGAGCUUCUUGACGAAAUAUGUGAUCGUGGUGAUAGCGAUGAAGAACAUGCCUUUGAUGAAGGACGUUCAGAGAUCGCUGCCAUGGGAGACAAGGGAAAGAAAAAGGUUCUUAAGGGCCAGCUUGAUUUGCAUCUUCGAAAACCAGAAAGUAUUAUGUGGUGACUAAAGGGCUCUAUGACUGUAUUGAUAGGCAACCUUGUGUUGAGAUUAGGAGGAAGAUACUUGACGAGCUGCCACUUUACAAAACUGGUACUUGCAUGUUUGGAGAACCAUUUGCUCUUGAACAAAGGAGCAAGAUUGCACCUGCUCAUUGGUGGAAAAUUUAUGGAUUGUCAACACCAAAUCUGCAAAGGCUAGCUAUCAAGAUCUUAAGCUUGACAUGCGGUGCGUCGGGAUGUGAACGCAAUUGGAGUGUUUUUGAGCAAAUUCACACUAAGAAAAGGAAUAGGCUUGAGCACAAAAGGCUUCAGGAUUUGGUGUUUGUGAAAUACAAUCAAGCACUACUAAGGAGGUAGGUAAGCCAUGGUGAAGCAUAACAAUGUCAUCCCUAACGGACACUUCCGUAAGCAUUGGCAGAACUAUGUGAAGGCCUGGUUCAAUCAACCUGCCCGCAAGACGAAUAGCUCGUGAGAAGAAGGCUGUUAAGAUUUUCCCCAGGCCUACUGCUGGUCCUCUCAGGCCUAUGGUUCAUGGACAGAUCUUGAAGUACAACAUGAAGGUCAGAGCCGGCAUAGGAUUUUCUCUUGAAGACUUGAAGGAUUAAAUUUUUGGAAAAAUAGAUCUAGAUCUCAAGUGGUUGUUUUUUACGAACGAAAACAUCCACAGUUGGUACUGACCCUCACUGCAUGUCAAUGUGCACAAUACGAAUUGCUGUUACCUUCUCAGAUCGUUCCAUUCUUUUUAAGUUUUGGAACACCUCCGGUACAACUUCAUACAUAUGUGAUAGACGACAUCCUCUGCAACGUGCUUUCGUCAAAAUCUACAGAUGCGCGUAUAGGAUCUGGUUGGAGAAAAUUCUGCAAAUUAAUGGAAAUUAGAGGCGGUGACAUAAUUUGUUUUAGGUUUGAAAGAAUAGCAAAUAGAAUUAAUGAAGUUAAGGUGUUGUAUAGAAAUAUUUAGUCAGUUGUUAUUCAUUUCAAAAUUUAAUCAGUUGUUGUUUUGUCUUGGGUA
Molecule: long non-coding RNA, 2575 nt
Organism: Lotus japonicus
Lineage: Eukaryota; Viridiplantae; Streptophyta; Magnoliopsida; Fabales; Fabaceae
Exons: 10
Source: RefSeq, a predicted model, not a curated record